RNAcentral lists this ribosomal RNA (449 nucleotides) under uncultured bacterium. RNAcentral's name for it is "partial 16S ribosomal RNA". It matches the Rfam family "Bacterial small subunit ribosomal RNA", at positions 354 to 796 of the family's 1533-position model. The record is from RNAcentral.
GUCGAGAAUCUUUCACAAUGGGGGCAACCCUGAUGGAGCGACGCCGCGUGGAGGAUAAGGUCUUCGGAUUGUAAACUCCUGUCAUGCGUGAACAAGGUUGCUUGGUUAAUACCUGGGCAAAUUGAUGGUAACGCAAGAGGAAGAGACGGCUAACUCUGUGCCAGCAGACGCGGUAAUACAGAGGUCUCAAGCGUUGUUAGGAAUCACUGGGCGUAAAGGGUGCGUAGGUGGCGUGGUAAGUCAGAUGUGAAAGCCCGGGGCUCAACCUCGGAACUGCAUCCGAUACUGCCAUGCUAGAGUACUGGAGAGGUGACUAGAAUUCUCGGUGUAGCAGUGAAAUGCGUAGAUAUCGAGAGGAAUACCAAAGGCGUAGGCAGGUCACUGGACAGUUACUGACACUGAGGCACGAAGGCCAGGGGAGCGAACGGGAUUAGAAACCCCUGUAGUCC